UUUUUGGUGGAGUGAAUAAAUAGGGCAGUGGACCGUGGGAGGUUGAGGGAGAAAAUGCUCGAUCGUGGCUUUGGCAACGGAGGCAAAGCCGGGGCUCUGAUACCAAGUUGAUGCAGCACCAGUGCGGGGGAAGAGAAGAAGAAGGAAGAACAAGAGAGGAAGAAGGAAGAAGAGGUUCUAGAGACACAGGAAGAAGAGAAGGGGAGGAGAAGGAGGAAGAAUAAGAUCUGGGGGAAAAGAAAUUCUUAAUCAUUCAUUAAACCCUAAUCAUGAAAAUAGUUCCCUAUAUAUAGGGCCCAAAUACACAACUUGCAUAAACCCCCCUUACACAGAAAUAAAUCCUAAUGAACCCACAAAUAACACAAAUAAGCCCUAAAAUGCAAAUAAGCCCAGAAAUAAAAUAAACCACAAAUAAACCCUAGAAUGCAAAUAAGCCCAAAAAUAAAAUAAUAAAAUAAAUAUGCAAAUAAACGAGUCUGGCUCAAUCCGGGGGCUCAGGAUCAUCUGGAUGAAGGGCUCUGAUGUCCCCAUC
Molecule: long non-coding RNA, 532 nt
Filed under: Phoenix dactylifera (date palm)
Lineage: Eukaryota; Viridiplantae; Streptophyta; Magnoliopsida; Arecales; Arecaceae
Description: long non-coding RNA (PDAC_LNC022175)
Source: RNAcentral